Long non-coding RNA from Osmerus eperlanus (European smelt), 353 nucleotides. RefSeq lists it as uncharacterized. NCBI's taxonomy places the organism in Eukaryota, Metazoa, Chordata, Actinopteri, Osmeriformes, Osmeridae. The record is from RefSeq and is a predicted model, not a curated record. The transcript has 3 exons.
CUCUCACAUGCAAACAACAGGUACUAUAACUGUAGUCAUGUUCAAUAAUUAUCUUGGUAAAUUCUUCAUUGGGAUCAUGCUUCUUCAUUUGGGUAUGAAAACUAAAGAAAUACUCCAUGACAUAGCGCACGUUGCACGGAUAGUCUUAUUCACGGCACUCACUGUGGUCUGCAUGGUUCUGUUUGGGUGUUGGGCACUGAGGGAUAAAGGUAAAACCUGUAGUGCCCCUGUCCCACCACUGGAGAGCACUGCCUUGCAGGCUGUAUGUGGAACUCCUGAAGACAAUCCAGCUAACAUUGAGAGGGCAGUAGAAACUGACUUGCCCACUGGCAUUGAUGAGGAUUAUGUGAAUG